CGCUGCGGCGUGCUUAACACAUGCAAGUCGAGCGGAAAGGCCACUUCGGUGGUACUCGAGCGGCGAACGGGUGAGUAACACGUGAGUAAUCUGCCCCUGGCUUUGGGAUAGCCACCGGAAACGGUGAUUAAUACCGGAUACGACAACUUCUCGCAUGGGAUGGUUGUGGAAAGUUUUUCGGCCAGGGAUGUGCUCGCGGCCUAUCAGCUUGAUGGUGAGGUAAUGGCUCACCAUGGCUUCGACGGGUAGCCGGCCUGAGAGGGUGACCGGCCACACUGGGACUGAGACACGGGCCAGACUCCUACGGGAGGCAGCAGUGGGGGAAUAUUGGACAAUGGGCGGAAGCCUGAUUCAGCAACCGCCGCGUGAGGGAUGACGGCCUUCGGGUUGUNAACCUCUUUCAGCAGGGACGAAACGCAAGUGACGGUCCUGCAGAAGAAGCACCGGCCAACUACGUGCCAG
Molecule: ribosomal RNA, 462 nt
Filed under: earthworm cast bacterium NC7
Lineage: Bacteria
Description: bacterial SSU rRNA
Rfam family: Bacterial small subunit ribosomal RNA
Source: RNAcentral